GAGAGACUUCAGUCGGCUCUCUUGGGGAAACACAUCUGAUUUGAUCUUAAUCAUUGGGGAAUAUUGAUCAAUAAGGAUCUUUCUGGAGACUUUCUGCAGCAUCCCACCCCCUGCUGUGACCAGUAAAACUUUAUUUUUUAUUGUUUUGGUGGGAUAAAAUGGUAACAGCGAGGAUCUAGUGUGUGUUUGCCAGCCUGCUGUCCGGUUCCAGCUCAGAGGAGGAUUUUAUUUUUUAUUUUUUUUAUUUUUUAAAGACAUACAGGGAAGAGUUUUGUGUGAUCUGCGACUAUAAAACGGAGGGAUGACAGUCAAGCUGGACUUUGAGGAGUGUUUGAAAGACUCUCCGCGCUUCAGAGCUGAAAUCGAAGUGGUCCAAAGCGAUGUGAGUGAACUCGAGACGCGAUUAGAAAAGCUUGUGAAACAAUGCCAGGCCAUGCUGGAGGCCGGCAGAGUCUACUGCCAGACCAGCAAGAGCUUCGUCAAUGGCCUCCGGGAUCUGGGACACCACUGCUCCGGGGACAAGAUGAUGGAGGAGUGUUUGGACAAAUUUUCCAAAAAGCUGUCUAUCAUCUUGGAAGCUCAGGGGGAAGUGAUUGAGACCACACAGAAGUCAGUCAAGUCGAAGCUGCAGAACUUCGUCAAAGAGGAUGUGCGUCGUUUCAAGGAUGUGCGUAAGGAGUUUGAGCGCAGCAGCGAGUGCCUGGAGGGGGCGCUGGUGAGGAACGCUCAGGCCCCACGGGGGAAACAACACGAAGUGGAGGAGGCGAGCAACGCUCUGCUCAACGCACGCAGGACCUUUCGGUCUGGGGCCCUGGAUUAUGUCCUGGAGAUUAACGUCAUUGAGGCCAAGAAGAAGACAGACAUUCUGAUGGCACUGUUGUCACUGAUGGAGUCCCAGGCUCAGCUCUUCCAACAUGGCCACCAGUCUCUCUCAGAACUGGAUGAGUAUCGACGGAAAUUGAAUGAAGAGCACACUCAGUUUGUCCUAAACUCUGCCCGGGAGAAGAGGGACAUGGAGCAAAGACACGCUGCAAUCAAGAAAAAGGACGUGUCUUAUGAUGACUCAAUCAUGGAUUUUAACGCUGACAAGUCUAAUGGGAUCGCCAUGGAGGGAUACCUCUACAAGAGAGCCAGCAACGCCUUCAAGACUUGGAGCAGGCGUUGGUUUUCAAUUCAGAAAAAUCAGCUGGUGUAUCAGAAGAAAUUCAAGGAGCAGCCUACAGCCGUGGUGGAGGACUUGCGUCUUUGCACAGUGAAGCCCAGCGCUGAAAACGAAAGACGGUUCUGCUUUGAAGUGGUCUCCCCAUCAAAGUGUUGUUUGUUGCAAGCAGACUCUGAGAGGCAGCAGCAGGCGUGGAUCAGUGCCGUCCAAAACAGCAUCGCCUCAGCCUUUCAGGAGCACAGAGAGGACCCACACAGCCCCAGACAGCGCUGCAGCUCGGUGACUGCGAACAAUUUGGUAGGAGGGGGAGGAGGAGGAGGAGUGGAUCAGGAGAACAAAGGCUGCAAGGCCUUGGAGGAGGUCCAGGCGAUCCCCGGGAACAAGCAGUGCUGCGACUGCGGGGAGUCGGGUCCUGAUUGGGCCUCCAUCAACCUGGGCAUCACGCUUUGUAUCGUCUGCUCAGGAAUACACAGGAGCCUGGGAGUCCAUUUUUCCAAAGUACGCUCCCUCACUCUGGACUCCUGGGAGCCAGAGCUCAUUAAGUUGAUGUGUGAAUUAGGAAACACAGUAAUCAACAGGAUCUACGAGGCCCGGAUUGAUGAGAUCACCAUCAAGAAGCCCCACCCCUCCAGUCCCAGAGGAGACAAGGAGUCGUGGAUCCGAUCAAAGUACGUUGAGAAGAAGUUCAUCCAAAAGCUGCCUGAGACUGGCAGGAACCCCCUGCUGAGGCGAUCCAGCGGCAGGAGGACCCGAGCCGACACGCAGGACCAGGCCGCGCAGCGUCCGCCGCUCAAACCCAAACCGAACCGAGCCACUCUGCCCCGGGUCACAGGGCUGAUCCCCAGUGACCUUGUCCAAAAGAACAAUACACACAAAGAUGUGGACGAGGAAGAGGAGGAUCUGAGUGGACUUCACCCCGGGGCGUUGUUGUACCGCUCGGCAGCCCUGCAGAACUUCCCCGUCAUGGCCGACGCUUUGGCCCACGGAGCCAGCGUCAACUGGGUCAACACAGCCGAGGAGUCCAGCACGCCGCUGAUACAGGCGGUCUCAGCGAACGCGCUGGCAGCCUGCGAGUUCCUGCUGCAGAACGGCGCUAACGUCAACCAGGCAGACAGCAAUGGGAGAGGACCGCUUCACCACGGCACCAUCCUGGGUCACACCGGGUUGGUUUGUCUCUUCUUGAAGCGAGGAGCAGACUACAACGCCAAAGACAAGGACCAGAAAGACCCCAUAACUAUUGCCGUGGACACCGCCAACGCUGACAUCGUCACUUUGCUGAGGAUCGCCAAGAUGAACAAGGAGAUGCGGGAGAUGGACGGAGCGUUUGGCCAAUCAGGUCAAUCGGGGGGGCAGGGGUCUGGGGGUUUAUUAGGAGGGACAGGAGGAGGGCGGGCCCACACCAGGAAGAGCCUCCAGGCUCUAAAGAACCACAUAAGUGGCUGGGCUCUGGGGGGACAAAACGAUUAGUGGGGAUAUAAAUCAGCCCAGGACAAGAGACUGGAAUGAGCCUGGUUUUGGUUCUACGCUAAAAGGAAAAACAUGUUUGUUUUUUUGUCAAGUUGUUAAGCACCAGAAAGCACUGGUUUUGCAGUGUCAUGUGGUGUUUAUCUGCAGCAUCUGCAGCAAAAUGAUCUAACCAUAUCAUUCAAGGAAACAUGCAUCAUCACAAAAAAAAGGGAAAAUGGCCUUCACUGAGAAAGCAUAAAAUUAAAUUCUUGUUCACCAAGUAAAAGCCAGAACACAGGGUACGAAAUUAUAGAGUCUCAAGGUCAUAAGGGAGAACAGAUUUAUUACACCAGUGAAGACGGAGAAUGUCAUGUGAAACAAGUUCACAUCGCACUUUGAAUUACAAACGCACAUCACCCUGCACUUUGAAACCCCACACAAUCUCUGAAUACCGAGUGCUGCAUGUGGGUGUUUCCAAUGUUGUAUAACUAAGGUUUAGGAAAAUGUAUAUUUAUAUAUAAUAGACUUAUAUAAGGCCUAUUUUUUAUAUUGUAUGUUUGGGAUAUUUGUAUAUACAGUAUGUACAGUGUUCUGGCUUUAUCAGAUUUCAUUGUGUUUGUGUGUACUGGUUUUUUUCAGUCCAGUUAUGUAAGCUAAAUUUAAUGUCGGGUUCGGUCCUCAAGGACGGUUUUAUCCCGCUAUUCUGUGAAUAGUGAUAGUUUCAACUCUGUUAUAUCAGAAUUUUAAGAGCAUUGUGCUGCAGCUCCAGAGCUAAAGGUUAACUGUUGGUUUUGUUUGCAUUUUUUUUUUGUCAUUCGGCUCCUUCUCAAGCUGCAAAAUCCAUUCUUUCAUGAUUGUUCUUUCGUGGCUAUCAAGUCUUUUUUUUUUCUUUUAAGUUCUUGUGUCAGCUGUAUUCAAUCACGGUCUCACUCAUGAAGGAAUGGGAACGUGAUGCUUUUGUCUGCUUGAAACAAACUGCUGGUCAGUAUUUGAUGUGCUCUAUCACUGUGUGUCUCUGUUGUGUGCACUUUUUUUUUGCCUUCUGCCCGCUGAGAUGUCCAGCUGGUCUCAACUGCUUGUGCAGUGUGCCACCUACUGCAAACUGAGAGGUGAUGAAACCUACCACGACAUCUUCAGAGACUUCUCACACAUGGCCUCGAACAACCCAGAGAAGCUCAAACGCCGCAGCGCAGACCCU
Anoplopoma fimbria (sablefish) is the source of this 3806-nucleotide RNA transcript. It is a transcript of the gene named ArfGAP with coiled-coil, ankyrin repeat and PH domains 1, with no coding region annotated. NCBI's taxonomy places the organism in Eukaryota, Metazoa, Chordata, Actinopteri, Perciformes, Anoplopomatidae. The transcript is spliced from 23 exons. The record is from RefSeq and is a predicted model, not a curated record.